RNAcentral lists this ribosomal RNA (253 nucleotides) under uncultured bacterium. RNAcentral's name for it is "partial 16S ribosomal RNA". It matches the Rfam family "Bacterial small subunit ribosomal RNA", at positions 524 to 776 of the family's 1533-position model. The record is from RNAcentral.
UACGAAGGGGGCUAGCGUUGCUCGGAAUUACUGGGCGUAAAGGGCGCGUAGGCGGACAGCUUAGUCAGAGGUGAAAGCCCAGGGCUCAACCUUGGAAUUGCCUUUGAUACUGGCUAUCUUGAGUUCGGGAGAGGUGAGUGGAAUGCCGAGUGUAGAGGUGGAAUUCGUAGAUAUUCGGCGGAACACCAGUGGCGAAGGCGACUCACUGGCCCGAUACUGACGCUGAGGCGCGAAAGCGUGGGGAGCAAACAGG